CCAAGGACUCCCAGGUGGUGGCCCAGAGCUGGCUGCUCUCCUCUAUCGGGCAGGUGGUAGGUCGGUUUUCCUCCCUUGGGCAGUGAGUCAUCCGAAUACCCCCUCGCUCAUUUCAACAACUACAAACACCAAAUCGCCCUGACUCUGUGAAUUGUGCCCCAUGCGUUGACUGACUGGCUCUAGUGACUGCUCUCUGGAGUCACUGGAGGCUGGGUGAGUAUGAUCAUCCUUGUCUGCAGACAAGCAAACUGAGGACCAGUCAGAAGUACCUCACCCAGGCUAUCCAGCUUGAGGCCUGGAACUGGGAUUUGAAUCCAUGUCCGACUAUCUUCGAAUCCUGUAUUCAUUCCAAUAAGAUGCCGACUCCCACUGUCUUCCCAUUGCCUUGUAGCAAGGAUAGACAACACCCCCAGGGCAGAUUUUGUCAGAAAUGUAGAUAUUUCCAAGGAAAAUCAGCUGCUUUGCUUGCCUCUCCCCACUGUAAGCAGGAAGACGGCUCAGUGUUUGUAGGGCCACCAGGAGAAUGCCUAGUGGCCUUCUCCUUCCACAGAUACUUCAGCUUGGGACCCAAUGUCCUCCACGGUCCCCCGGGAUCUUGAUGCCUCCACUUCCACUCAGCAACUCCAGGAGUUCUUGGUGACUCAUGCAAAAGAAAAAGCAAGGUCCUUGCAGAGCCAGGCAGAGCCCCCUGGAGUCCUCGUGAAGGUCUCUCCAAUGACCUUGAGCAAAUUUCAGAACCCUCUGAGCCUGGGCCCCCUCAUCUGUUAAGACAGUGACAACCAACCAUGCCAAACAAAAUGUACAGCUUGGUUCUGAGAACUGAAUGAGUUAACCUGUGUGAAGCCACCUGACUCUAAGAAGGUAUUCAAUAAAUACUAUUCGUCAUGAGAUAGAAUUGGGGGAUUUUGUGGCAAAAAGAAAGACUAUGGGAAUUAUAAUCAUUGAACACCUAAAACAUUCCAGUUACUAUGCUCAAUCCUUUACUUGAACAAUUAAGCCUCCCAACACUCCUACAAGGCAGGUAAGUAUCUCCUCACUUUGCAGGUAAAGAAACUGAGGCUCCAAGACGUUAGGUUAUUUACCCAAGAUCAAAAUCAAGAAUUUGACCCAGAACCCAGGAGUUUAACAUCUAAGAUGCUCUGCAACAAUUCCCACUUUCCUGCCAUGACUGGAGGAUCCUUCCCUGAAAUACGCGCUCUCAUCUAUCUUUAGAUUUUUGUUUAGAUAAGCAAGACCUUUCUGAAGGGGCUUCACAUCCCUCAUGACAAUAGUUACCCCUUCUCCUACACGCUCGGGACACUGUGGUUAUUUUUAUCCACUGCACUUUCCAAAUAUUACAUAUAUUUACACAUCUGUCUCUGGCACUAAGUGGAUCCUCUUGGAGGGCAUGGACAAAAUCUUAUUUUAUUUCUUUGUUUCCUCUCCAAGCAACCAUUACCCAUAGCACUGUGCACGCCCAGCUUUUGCUAAAUGUUUGUUGACUUGAGGUGUGUGUUAGGCAGAGUUGACCAGAGAGCGCGACAGACCUUAGUCCGAAUCCCUAUUCCCACUGACUGCGUGACUAGGCAAGUGACUCAGUCCCGCUGGGCCUCCCUCAGUCUCCUCACCUCUAAAACAGGAUAAUAGCACCUACCAUCAUGAGGUGUUGUGAGGAUGAAAUGAAAAAAUGCAGGUGUUGCAUUUACAUAGUGCCUGGGCACAUGUUACACAGUCAGUAAAUGUGUGUGAUAACACCUGAGGGGUAGAGACUGGACAAGGUGGAUGCUAGUGACAAGGAAAGAAAGAAGUAGCCCUGGGAAACAUGCAGAAAUAGGGAUGCUGCUGAAGACCAAACUUGCUUCCUUUUUAGAGCAUGGUGGAAUAGAGAGAGAGAAACAGGUUGGAGAUAAUUUAGGGAAAGUUCAGUAAAAUGUAGAAGGGCCAACAAAAUGUGUUUAAGACUGCCGUGACAAGAGGGGAAAAGGAAUUGGUUAGAAGUGAGAGAAGCCUGAAGCAGUGUCCCAGAGACUGUCCAGGAUGAAAGAAGGGGCCUGGAGAAGAGAGAGAUAUGCCUAUUCUACCAAAAUAAGGAAAACGCUGGAGGGGAUUGGGCGGGGGGGACAUGCAGCUGGGAGAACAUUACAAACUAAGGUGGCUGUGGAAGGAGCAGCUUCUGUUGGAUCCAAAAGGAGGAUCUGAAAGCCAAAAGGAAUGAAUAAUCCAGGCAUUGGGCUCAAGGAGGGAGGCAGCUGUCCAUUUAUGGCUUGAUGAACACUUGACUAAGCCCUUUCAGUUAGUUUAAGAAACUCCUUCUAAUGCAGUUUGGACUGAGAUGUCUUUAGCUGGAGCACACGCCUCGCCAAAGAUCCCACCCAGGAGGGAGCAGAGAGCAGUGGAAGCGGGGGGACCCCAGACCCAUGGCACAGUCUGUGGAGACUGCGGCCCGCUCUCAGCCCUGGGGUGGGGCAGCCGAAAUUUGCCAGGUGGUACGAGGAAGGCCUUCUAUUGGCAGUGCGCUGGGCCUCUUUGUCAAAUCAAACAGGGUCCUUCUCUGAGCUUCAAACCUAAUCUCUGCAAUUUAAAUCAAAAUUUGCGGACACAGAGGCUUCUACCUGCAGGAGGUGGGGGGAGGGAGAAGGUUAGGGGCCUCUUUCCGUAGUUUAGAGACAGGGGGCUGCUCUGAACUGAAGUCCUUGCUCCCUCCUCUGACCAUCACUCAGCUCUUUUCUCUAGAGUGAGAGAGGAAGGAGCUUGCCAAGUGGCAGGAGCCAAGUCAUUAAGCAGCCUGCAGGGGCAGAAAUGGUCUUUCUGGCCUCAGGACUGGAGCGAGAUUGUCCAAAGCAAUUUAUAGGCUCACUUGAAAGGUGACAUGGACAGGGAAGUGGCUCGGGAAGAAAAAUUCCUUCAUUCACAGAGCGUGGAGGCAGACCUGCCCUGCCUGUUAACCAGAAAUAGUACUGGGAGCUGGGAGCCUGGAGGAACACCUCCAGCCAGAUGUGAAGAGACCCUGUGGACAGAUGUGUGCAUGUGUGAAUGCCCCUCUCGCUCUAAUGCAGGCCCAGGUUGCGGGGGGCUGGUGGGUGGUGGUGGUUAUGCUCUACUCAGUUAUUCAAGGACCCAGGUGGCCCUGGCUUUACCAUGUUCAACACAAGGCUGCCCUGUGUCCCAACAUCCAGCUGAUGGGGAGAGAACACAGAGAUCAUACCUAGGUCAUGGUACCUGAAGUGGCACGCACCACCUCACAUGCCAUUGGCCAGAACUCAUUCCCAAGGAUGUGCUAAACUGCAAGGGAGGAUGGAAAGUGAAGCUUAGCUGUAUGCCCAGGAAGGAGGUGAAAUGGAUUUGGUGAUCCGUCAGCAAUCUUUGCCACAUGCCCCCAGUAACCCAGGAAAUUUGGUGAUAGAGGGUUGGACAGAGGUGCCUGAGAAAUAAACAGAUUGCUGAGACCUGUAGGGCUUGGGACAAUAUCCCACCUUGGGGUAGCCUUAAUAGGUGACCCAUCCUUAGCCUUAGGAGCAGGGCGCCCUGUGGGGAAGACAUUUGGAGGGGGGUCAGGUAAGAUCCAACUUGGAGUGCUAGAAGAACUGUGGCAGCUCUUGGCCUGGGGCAGAGGUGCUCUGGAGGCCUCUGGGGAAUGCUCUGAGGAGAGGACGAGGGCCUGGUCACUGAGGGCGAGGUCUGGGUUCCCAUGAGGCAGGUACAGGGAGCCUUAGGUCCAGCCCAGGUCACCAGGGUAGAAGAGAAGGCAGGGGUCAGGGACACACACUCCACACUGCAGUACUUGUGUGUAAUUCUCCUGUGCCCCAUCUUCAUGGAAGAAGAGCCGGGGGGGCCAGGGCCUAGCUGGACGAGGCCACCUAGGGGUGAGCAGACAAGAGAUGUAUCACUGCUCAGGACGCUGGGGUGAGGAUGGGAAAGCAGGGCGCCUGGCAUCUGAGGAGGAGGGUCCCAGAGUAAGGAGAAAGGGCUCUACAGGAGAACAGGGACACGGAGCCAAAGAACCCUCUUCCGUACAGGGUAUAAGGUGUGGCUUUUCAUUUUUAUGCUGACGUUGUUACUUCUGGGUGUCCCGAGCUAUCCAACAGAACUUUCUGCCAUGAUGGAAGUGUUCUCUAUCUGGCUGUCUCACAUAGUAACCACUAGCUGCAUGUGGUUACAGAGCACUUGAAGUGUGGCUAGCAUGACAGAGGAACUACAUUUUGAAUCGUAUUCAAUUUUAAUUAAUUUAAAUGAAAAUAGACACAGGCGGCUAGCAGCUACUGAGUUGGACAGCACAGGCAUAGUUUCAGCCCAAGGGAAGUAGGGUGUGGGCUGUCAUUACUUUGUCUGAGUCUCCUCAUGCUCUGCCUGUCACUGCUCCUGGGCCCUCGGCUCUGUCCCAGCUUUGGCUUAAGCUGAGCCCUGGGUGGACAGAGGGUCUAUGUCUACCCUCAGGUUUGGGCAGAUUAGAGCCUCUGAAAUCUUCAUUUGCUUUCAUCCCUGUGGGUCUGGGAAGAGAGGUCAGUCAGAGUGCUGGGCAGCUGGGAAGCAUUACUGAAUCUUUGUGGUCCUAGUGCUGGAGAUGGAGAAGGGGCUUGGACCCUGACUUCUCUGUCCUCGGUUUCAAGGUGUUGGGCUUCAGUCCCGGCUCCUUCGUUGAUAGGAGGGUCAGAGACAUUGAGGCCCGACUGAUGCAUCCGCAAGAGGCUCAGGGGCGGCUCACAGCUCACGGAUGGGAAAUGUAAUUGCAUCUGCCACUCAUCUGCUCCGUGCCCAGACUGUCUAAUUGGUAAAUGCUUUGAUGCCCACUAUUCACCCGCCACCCCCGCGCACUCCUCCAACCAUCCCCCCAACUGCAUUUUGAAUCAUCAGCACUUUGUUCCUUUCUAGCACAUCCCCUCCCCUGGUUCCCAGACCAGCUGAACUAGCUCUGCUUCCAAGCCUAUUGUCACUGUCUGCCAUCCUGUCAUCACUUCAAACAUUAUCAAUAGACAUGACUGUCUGUCUGUGUCCCAGAGGGACCCCCAGGUCCAGGGCUGCCUUGCCAGUGCUCUGGGCAACACCCGAGUCCCCGGAGUCUGCUCUACAGUCUAGACCAUCCCCCGCCCUCCUCUUGGCUCAGGUGCAAAGCUAGAGGGGCGGGACCUCCACCGAUUCCUGUCCCUCCCCUUAGCAGCUCUUUCUCUUCUCUUCUUUCUCUUUAUUCUCCUCCCUCUGGAGGAGCCGGCUUUCAACCUCUCUACAGGAUACAAGGUGGGCUGGUCCCCAAAACAGUAUUUGAAGUUGGUGAGAGGGAGAUAAUGGGAGAGAGGUGGAGCGCCGUGUGGCUGCAGGGCCCUGGAAUCCAGGUGGGUCUGGUCUGCUUCCUGCCCCCUUACACAGGGUCAUCUUUGAAUCAAUACCAAAUUUUCUUCCAACCUUGAAGGCUGCCCCAGUCUCCACAGGCCUGAACUGAAGUUAUCCUCAAGUCCUGGUUCAAGCCCUACCUGAGUCCCUGACUCUGGCCUCACUAGGCCUCCCAGGCCUUCUUAGAAUGGGCACCAGAAAGCUCUUUCUAAAGGGCAAACGUAAGGUAUCCUGCUCUGUGUAACAUCUUCCAAUGGACCCUCAAUGACUCCCCAGUAAGGGCUGGACUCCUUAACAGGACUUAGGUGUGUCACAACGUCUUCCUCUUCUCCAGCCCCAUACUCUCACGAGGCCAGGCUUCAUUUUCCCCUCUAGCUCACAUGUGAUGUGUGAUGGUCCUGUGAAAGGCCUGUUCCUCUGGGUAUAGCCAAGAUUAUUCACAGUUCACCGUGGGCUAGCUCUAAGCCCACUCAGUUCUCUUCUGCUCAGGAAAUGCCCUCGCUCUCCAUCACCAUUCAGAUCUGCUCAGGCACGCCACCUCUGUAACGUAUUCCUCGUCUCCUAACGCUAGACAGGCGGCAGUAGUCCUCGGUUCCGUCAAAAGCACCCGCAUGAGGUUGUGUAGUUUUAAUUUCCUUAUCUCUCCUACACCUACCCCUAGCACCCAGCACCCAGGUGGGCUCCUUCAUAUCAGCUAGCAGCAUGGAAUGAAGCCCACCCUGGCCAUCAGCCUGGAGGCUUUCUCCCUGCCUGAAGCCGGAUUGCAGGUCCUGGCUCAGAAUGGACAGAGAGGAUGAACGCAGGACCUAUGGUUGAUAUCAUUCAUCAAGUGCCCUUCAAGCACUGACUGGUACUGAAAGCUGUUGUUUUCCAGGUGUGGCCUCGAUCCCAGCCUUCUCCUUUCUGAAGGAUGGAGACCCAGGUGGGGCCAGUGUAGUUUCUUUCACAGAGCAGAUGCUCCAUAAACAUUUAUUGGAUGAUUAACUCCCAGUGUUCAGCUCUCAGGAUGAUGCUGAGCUCAGAUUAAGUUCUGUUGUUGUCGUUCUCUUCUUUGUUUUCUGGUCCACAGGGAAGUGCAAACGAUAGUCUUGGGGAGGACCAAUGUAAGCCACUUCUUCCCACCCACUGUCCCCUUUACGGUUCUAGAGUCAGAGAUUUCUGAGCUGGGCCCAGCAAGCUCUCCCCCGUCUCUGGACUGCUCUCUUGGGACCAGCUUCCCACAGCCUCCCCCGUCCCCAGGAGGAGCCAAGACAUCUUAUUCAUGGAUGCUCCUUCUGUGCAGGGCUUUGGUGGUGGCUGCUCUUCCACCACUCUGCCACUCGCUCCGCCGGGGCCCUGCCAAGUUUCCUCCUCCACACCUGAUGGCAUACCUGGCCGGGUUCUCAGCCUCACUUGGGAUUGCUUUCUUUGGUUCCAAGCUGGGUUGCCUUUCCUCUUCUUCUCUGAAAGAGCACCAUGGUGCCCGGACCUUUACCAGUUUGCCACCCAAUUCCUUUUCUCUCCUGACCUCGUCCCCGUGUGCAUCUCUUAGAGCAUGGCCAGGGCCCUUCUUACUUGGUCUUUACUUAUUUAUUUUUCCGGAAGAUUUUUCUAAAUUUGUUUUUUAAUUGAGGUCAUAUUGGUUUAUAACAUUAUGUAAGUUUCAUACGUACAACCUUGUAUUUCUACUUCUGUAUACACUUCAGUGUAUCCCCACCAAAUAUUCAGUUUCCAUUCGUCACAUGCAGUUGAUCCCCUUUAGCCGUUUUGCCCUCCCUGCUGUCCCUUACCAUCCAAUCACCACUAUGCUGUUCCCUGUAUCUACCUGUUUGGUUUGAUUUGGUUUGUUCAUUUAUUUUGUUUCUUUGUUUGCUUGUCUGUUUUUAUUCCACAUAUGAGUGAACUCGUAUAUGGUAUUUGUCUUGCUACAUGUGACCCACUUCACCUAGCACCAAUACCCCCAACAUCCAUUCAUGCCGCUGCAAAGGGCACGACCCCAUCCUCUUUAUGACUGAGUAGUACUCCAUUGUGUGUGUGUGUGUGUGUGUGUGUGUGUGCGCGCGCGUGUGUGUAGAUAUAGAUAUGAUAUAGAUACACACCACAUCUUCUUAAUCCAUUCAUUGGAAUAUUUUUUCACUUACUCGGUCUUUAGCACCAGACUGCACUCAUCCUCCUUGAGCCUCAGUGGUGUGUGUCACCUCCCUCUAUCACGCUGUGGAUUCCUUGAGAGUGGGCUCUGGGACUACGUACAGCUCUGCAGCCUCCCAUGCUCUCCACGUUCUCCCUCGGGACCUUGCCCAUGAGAUCCCAAGAAGUGCACCGUGCUCUGAAGAGGCAGACUGAGGCUGUAGGGGCCCGGCCGCCCCUCCCCACAAUGCUUUGGCCGGUCAGCCAGCACCCGAGACCGCAGACCAGCCUGACAGGCCGGCAGAGUCCCUAGCCUCUGGCUUUCCUCACAUGGGAGAGCUGGUUAAAAGUCAACAUUCCCAGAACUGAAUGGGGAAAAGCUGGGGAGAAGGGAAGAAGCCUGAUCUCUCCCCAGCGGUGUGUGUACCAAGAGAAGAUGAAUGUGAUGCUCUGGGAGUUCAGCUAUCUCCCGGGAGAGAAAUGCAUCUGUUGAUUACAUUUCUGUUCUGAAAAACAUGGUCCUUGGAAUAGUGCUUAGCUGAUCCUGGCACUGGGCUGUGAAAGCUAAAUUGUCUCUGCCCCCAACUCAUCCCUCCCACAUGGUGGAUUUGGAGAAAGAGCUGGAUUUGGAGAGGUUGAGGAGGAAGGGGGGCCCAGGACAUGGCAGGGGCUGGAGGUAGAGCAUGUGAAGACAUGGUGGUGUGGGGUUAUGCCCCUGGCACUCCUGUGGGGCAAAUAGAAGGGCCCGCGCGGGACCGCGCAGGGGCUUAAGAGGUGUGCACAAAGGCAGAGCCCUCUCGGCCCGGGCACCGUCCAUGGAAGGCAAUGUCGAUUCAGCAUUGCCCCUCUGCUUCCCACUCAGAACAAACCUUCUUUCCUGUUUACACAUUAGGGGGUCAUGUCUGGAGGAGGUGGAGAGGAGAGCCCCCUGCAGCUCCUCUAGGAAGCUCCUGGGAGGGAGUGAUAGGGAACAGACAAGACCAGGGCCAGAGAGCAUGGGAGGAGAGAGGAUCCAUCCAUGUUGAGGCCCGGGGGAGGAGGGCUGCACUGCAGACAGCUGGCAGUGCCAGAAGCUGGGGGCAGAGGGCACAUGGCAGGAGACAGGAGGAGGAGCUACACUUCACGUCUAAGAGGAGGAGGUACUGGUCCUCUGUUUCCCUUUGGGCUUUUGUUGUUUACCUGAGUGAUUCCUGGCCCCGGGGCAACACAGAGCAUUUCUCUGACAUGCACUAGAGAUGUGACUUAAUUGCCUUCAGAUUCUGCUUGGGGUUUUUCCCUCUGAAUUUCACCAAAUGGUCCAGGUUUACCCUGACUGCCAUUUUAGUGUGUUUUAUUUUCUCUACCACCUAAUGUCCCAGAGGUCCCCAGAAGCUGCACACCUUUCUGUAAGCCCCAGGGUGAGCCUCCCUCUGAAAGUCUGGACCAGGCCCGGGAAGAUCUGCUCAUGGGCUGUGAUUUGGGCACCUUGCCCCCUCCCCUGCCCACAUGCCCUCCUUCCUAGAGCACACAGACUCUCAGGCAGUGUCUGAGAUGCCAUAAUAUGGAAAGAGCAAAUUCCUUGGAAGAAAAUGUAGGCUUCUCUUUGGGCCUUGGAUUUAAAAUGCAGACUCGAGGUAGGGUAAACUGCCUUGCGGUUUAGGGUGAAUUUACCAGUUAGCUUUUAUCCUCUAAGAGAGACUGAUCUGACAGUACCUGGUAUCACCUGGAACUGCUCCACCUCUGAACCCUUGACUUCAAACAUGCCACUCUCUGGGUACAAAUCUUCUGUCCUUUCAGCUUUUCCCUAAACCCCUCAUUCUUCCUCAAGACCUUCAGCUCUCAACCCCUCUGUCAGCUCCUCCUGACCUCACCCCUUCUCUGACUAGGUCUCCGCUCCUUGAUUGACCAUUUGACCCAGCCUCUUCUAUUCUUUUUUUUUUUGAAUUUUAUUUUAUUUAUUUUUUUAUACAGCAGGUUCUUA
Molecule: long non-coding RNA, 9370 nt
Organism: Aethalodelphis obliquidens (Pacific white-sided dolphin)
Lineage: Eukaryota; Metazoa; Chordata; Mammalia; Artiodactyla; Delphinidae
Exons: 3
Source: RefSeq, a predicted model, not a curated record